This 486-nucleotide ribosomal RNA is filed under the name uncultured bacterium. RNAcentral's name for it is "bacterial SSU rRNA". It matches the Rfam family "Bacterial small subunit ribosomal RNA", at positions 31 to 507 of the family's 1533-position model. The record is from RNAcentral.
GAACGCUGGCGGCAGGCCUAACACACGCAAGUCGAGCGGUAACAUUUCUAGCUUGCUAGAAGAUGACGAGCGGCGGACGGGUGAGUAACGCGUAGAAAUCUACCUAGUAGUGGGGGAUAGCCCAGAGAAAUUUGGAUUAAUACCGCAUACGCCCUACGGGGGAAAGCCGGGGGAUCUUCGGACCUCGUGCUAUUAGAUGAGUCUGCGUCGGAUUAGCUUGUCGGUGAGGUAAUGGCUCACCAAGGCGACGAUCCGUAGCUGGUCUGAGAGGAUGACCAGCCACACUGGAACUGAGACACGGUCCAGACUCCUACGGGAGGCAGCAGUGGGGAAUAUUGCACAAUGGGCGCAAGCCUGAUGCAGCCAUGCCGCGUGUGUGAAGAAGGCCUUAGGGUUGUAAAGCACUUUCAGCAGUGAGGAAAGGGGUGUCGUUAAUAGCGCCAUCCUGUGACGUUAACUGCAGAAGAAGGACCGGCUAACUCCGUG